GGUUGGAAGUGGUGUCCCUGAGGCACCUGCUCGCCCUUUUCCUGCGCCUCCGCAACGUCGGCUGCGAAUGAGUCUCCUAAAGGACGCCCGGGAGGAUCGGAAACAGCCGAGUCCCGGCGCGGGCAGUGUCCUGCGCUCCUCCCCGGGGUCUGGCCGGGGUGGGCCCGAGGCCCCCGGGCCCCCGGUUACCGCCGCGGGCGCGUCUGCGUCCUGACCCGGAGGGACCCGCGGGCCGGGCCGUACCAGGUGGCGCUGGGGUUAGGGUUGCCGCCACGGAAGCCCAGCUCUGUGGACGCCUGCAGGGCGCCCUCACCGCCCGGGACGGGGGACCCAGCCCAGCCGCAGGGGAAGGACUGGGGCUCGCGGGGACGGAGGGCGGUUAGGAUUGCUGGAUACAACACGGAACGCCCAAUUAACGUUUUUGUUUAACGUGUUUUUUGUAGAGAUGGGGUCUCGCUAUGUUGCCCAGGCUGGUCUUGAACUCCUGGCCUCAAGCGAUCCUCCCGCCUCGGCCUCCAGAGUAGCUGGGACUAGAGGCCUGAGACAGCACGCCCGGCUCAGUUAAGAUUUUAAAACAGAUUUGUUGAAAUAUAAUGCACUUACUGUGAAAUUCACUUAUUGAAAGCUUAUGGCUUUGCCGUAUAUUCGGAGAUGGGCGGCCAUGCUCACUAUCUCAUGUGACACCGUUUCUGUUGCCCCAGAAAGAAACCCCGUGCCCAUGAGCGUUCACUCCCCACCCUGCCCACGGCCCAGCAAAUCUGCUUCAGCCCCUAUAGAUUUACCUCUACCGCGUUGGGCAUGUACUAAAAAUUGUUUAUCUGAAGUACAGAUUUAUCGGCAUCCCAUAUUUUUAUUUGCUAAUUCUGGCCAUCCUAAAGGUGGCAUCGCUCGCUCUGACCAAGGAAGCCUCAAGCAGGCAGGCACGAGAGUCCAUCCCUAGCCCUGCCUGGCCCCUCAGAGCCCAUCCCUGGCCCUGCCUGGCUCCUCAGAGCUGUCCCUGGCAGGCUCCGGGCUCAGGUGCGCUGCCAGGAGGGGGGCAGUGAGGGCUGUUUUAGGUAUAACAAUCCUGGAUAUUUCCUGAGUAUCUUGUCCGAAUGGUUCCUCUUUCUGUAUUUUCUAGCUUCCUCUGUAUAUUUAAAAAUGGUCUUAUUGGUGUGUUUCUUCACGACAUUUCAAUUUUUUGUUAUCAUUUCCCACAAUUUCAGUGAUGCAAGAUGGUCCUUUCUGAGCAGAGCUCCCCUCGCUCAGUGCUCCUUUGUUUCACGUAGAAGAUCUUCUUGAGGGGACUGUGUGGCCAGUGCAGCCCAGGCCUCCCCACCCUGCACCGUUCAACAGAAGAGCAGCUGACGCAGGGGGCCCUCAACAUGCUCACCCAAAAGUCAGCGAGAUUCUGCACCGGCCCACUAGCCUUCCAAUUGUAAACUAAAAAUAAAAUCUUGGCCAGGCA
RNAcentral lists this long non-coding RNA (1447 nucleotides) under Homo sapiens (human). RNAcentral's name for it is "HSALNT0392241". Lineage: Eukaryota; Metazoa; Chordata; Mammalia; Primates; Hominidae. The record is from RNAcentral.